GAUGAACGCUGGCGGCGUGCCUAACACAUGCAAGUCGAACGGACAGACGACGAGCUUUUUCGUGUGAGGGUAGCGGCGGACGGGGGGGUAGUAAGUGGAUAACAAACUGCUCAGUCUUGGAGGAUAACGGGAAGCAAGUGCGGCUAAUACGGAAUAUAUUGAACCGGUUGGAUCAAGGGUGAGUGACGGAUUUGGUGUCAGUUGGAGAUGGAUCGGCGGCGCAUUAGCUAGUUGGUGAGGUAACGGCCUACCAAGGCAGCGAUGCGUAGCCGGCCUGAGAGGGUGAUCGGCCACAAUGGAACUGAGACACGGCCCAGACGCCUACGGGAGGCAGCAGUAGGGAAUAUUACGCAAUGGGCGGAAGCCUGAUGGAGCAACGCCGCGUGGGUGAUGAAGGUCUUCGGCUCGUAAAGCACUGUUAUUGGGAAAGAACAAAUGCUGCCGUAUCUGUGGAUGUCUUGACGGUACCUAAAUAAAAAGCGCCGGCUAACUACGUG
Molecule: ribosomal RNA, 497 nt
Filed under: uncultured bacterium
Lineage: Bacteria
Description: partial 16S ribosomal RNA
Rfam family: Bacterial small subunit ribosomal RNA
Source: RNAcentral